UACGAAGGGUGCAAGCGUUAAUCGGAAUUACUGGGCGUAAAGCGUGCGUAGGCGGUUUGUUAAGUCUGUUGUGAAAUCCCCGGCGUCAACCUGGGAAUGGCAAUGGAUACUGGCAAGCUAGAGUGUGAUAGAGGAUGGUGGAAUUCCCGGUGUAGCGGUGAAAUGCGUAGAGAUCGGGAGGAACAUCAGUGGCGAAGGCGGCCAUCUGGAUCAACACUGACGCUGAGGCACGAAAGCGUGGGGGAGCAAACAGG
Molecule: ribosomal RNA, 254 nt
Filed under: uncultured bacterium
Lineage: Bacteria
Description: partial 16S ribosomal RNA
Rfam family: Bacterial small subunit ribosomal RNA
Source: RNAcentral